This 760-nucleotide long non-coding RNA is filed under the name Homo sapiens (human). RNAcentral's name for it is "non-protein coding lnc-SPINK4-4:2". Lineage: Eukaryota; Metazoa; Chordata; Mammalia; Primates; Hominidae. The record is from RNAcentral.
CGAGGGCGGGAAGGCGGGGCAGCCCGUGGCGGGAUGGGCGCGCUUCUUACCUCCCUCAGAGAGUGAUACUAUUGUUUAUUCAGUUCCCCAGAAUCUAAAAGGUGUCGAUAGCUAUUCCUUGAACUUGCCAUAUUUCUUCCUGCCUCAGGGCCUUUGUACUUGCUGUUCAUUUAGCCUGAAACACUUGUCCCCAAUAUUUCAUUCAAUUCAGGUCUCUUAAAUGUCACCUUAUGACAGAGACCUUUUCAGACUACCUUAUGCAGAAUGGCCUCCUGCCCAAAUCUGCUUAAACUGCUUGAAUUUUUUUUUUUUUUUUUUUGAGACAAAGUCUUGCUUUUGUCCCCCAGGUUGGAGUGCAAUGGUGCAAUCUCACCUCACUGCAACCUCUGCCUCCCGGGUUCAAGCGAUUCUCCUGCCUCAGCCUCUUGAGUAGCUGGGAUUACAGGUGCCUGCCAUCACGCCGGGCUAAUUUUUUGUGUUUUUAGUAGAGACGGAUUUCACCAUGUUGGCCAGGCUGGUUUCAAACUCCUGACCUCAGGUGAUCCGCCCGCCUCGGCCUCCCAAAGUGCUGGGAUUACAGGCGUGAGCCACCGCGCCCGGCCUUAACCUGCUUGAUUUUUUUCAGAGUGGAUAUCAACUACCCAACAUUAUGCAUUUAUUUUCUGUUGUCUUGCCUCCCUCAUUAGAAAAUCAGCUUCAUGAGAACAGGAAAUUUCUCUCUUGUUCACUACUGUAUCUUCAGCCCCUAGAUUUUUUUUUU